RNAcentral lists this ribosomal RNA (245 nucleotides) under uncultured bacterium. RNAcentral describes it as "partial 16S ribosomal RNA". It matches the Rfam family "Bacterial small subunit ribosomal RNA", at positions 524 to 768 of the family's 1533-position model. The record is from RNAcentral.
UACGGAGGGUGCAAGCGUUAAUCGGAAUUACUGGGCGUAAAGCGCGCGUAGGCGGUUCGAUGAGUCUGUCGUGAAAGCCCUGGGCUUAACCUGGGAACUGCGGUGGAUACUGUCGGACUCGAGUGUGGUAGAGGGUAGUGGAAUUUCCGGUGUAGCAGUGAAAUGCAUAGAGAUCGGAAGGAACACCAGUGGCGAAGGCGGCUACCUGGACCAACACUGACGCUGAGGUGCGAAAGCGUGGGGAG